Molecule: long non-coding RNA, 3866 nt
Filed under: Callithrix jacchus (white-tufted-ear marmoset)
Lineage: Eukaryota; Metazoa; Chordata; Mammalia; Primates; Cebidae
Description: lncRNA (ENSCJAG00000075678.1)
Source: RNAcentral
UAUAUAUAUACACACUAUAUUUAUAUAUAUACUAUGUAUAGUAUAUAUAUGUUAUACUAUUGCAAGCCUUGGCUAUAACAUUAAUUUUUGCUUUGUACUGUUCUGAAUUCUGUACAUUUCUACAAAUAUUAUUACAUUAUAUAAUUUAAAAACUAUCAUGACUUAUGAUUUCUAUAAUUUAACAGUUUUGGUUUUUUUUUUAGAGAGAGAGUUUCACUCUGUCAUCUAGGCUGGAGUGCAGUGAUACGAUCAUGGCUCACUGCAGUCUCGACAUUCCUGGGCUCAGGUGAUCCUCCCACCUCAGGCUCCUGAGUAGCUGGGACCACAGGUGCAGACUACCAUACCUGGAUAAUUUUUGUAUGUUUUGUAAAGAAAGAGGAGUCGCACUAUGUUGCCAAGGCUGAUCUCAAACUCCUGUGCUCAGGGAUCCAUGAUGACCUUCCAAAGUAUUGGGAUUACAGUGAAACCGGCAAAAAACCAAGAAAUUUGCUAUGUAUGGUCACUAUUGAUAUAAAAAAAUGCGUUUUUAAUGCUUGAAGAGUCAUCAAUCAUCAUUGGCCUAGAAAGAGUGAAGAAAGCAAAAAAAGAUCCUGAAGAAAUUGUUAAAAAGAUUGUUCAAGGCAAAAUAUAUGUUUUAAAAAUAUAGGGUUAUGGAGAAUUUUACUGAACUCCAUGAACUUGGGCACUGGCAGACCAUUUUUACUUUGGUGUAAGACAUAUUCAGGAAACAAAUGAGAUGUUUGUUGAGAGGCUGCAAGACAGGUUAAUUAACUUUCUUUUGUAGAACAAAAGGCUACCCUUUAAUGUGAAAUCCUCAGGAAGCUAUUCUGAAUUGGGUGAUUCAGGCAGUCAUAUUUAUUCUGUUUGAAUUCCAUUUGAGUUUAUUGAUUGCUUCAUCUAAGAAAUAAACAAUCAAGAAAAAAACAUGAAGCAACUGUAGAGACAGCAACUCGGGUCUACCAGGCUUUACUCUAAAUCACAAGAAGAGAUAUAAACUAAAUUGCUUCCAUUCAUAUAUGCUUCUAGGCUGUUCCUUAUGUGAAAAAUUACUUAUCUUCUAACUUCUUUCUUUCUUUUCUUUUUGAGACGGAGUUUCACUCUUGUUACCCAGGCUGGAGUGCAAUGGCGCAAUCUCAGCUCACCGCAACCUCCGCCUGCUGGGUUCAGGCAAUUCUCCUGCCUCAGCCUCCUGAGUAGCUGGGAUUACAGGCACACGCCACCAUGCCCAACUAAUUUUUUGUAUGUUUAGUAGAGACGGGGUUUCACCAUGUUGACCAGGAUGGUCUCGAUCUCUUGACCUCGUGAUCCACCUGCCUCGGCCUCCCAAAGUGCUGGGAUUACAGGCGUGAGCCACCGCACCCGGCCCUUCUUCUGUCUUUCAUUAGCUAAGACGAAAGCCUAGUAGCUAGCCAUAAAGAACUUUGCAUUAAACAAUUGGAAAACAAUCUUUCCUAGGAGACUAACUAAAUGAAAAUAUGUUGGAUUUUAUCAUCAGCAUGAGUUGAUGUUCUUUUUAUCUGUGAGAUGGCUGUUUGGUCUCUGCUGACCUGAAGUGCCAGCACUUGCUGGAAACCAUAGCUGUAGGGAAGACAGCUAUGAUUAAUGAUUCCACAGCAUCCCAGGUAUAUGGAACAUAAAAUUCAUUUGCAUUUUCAGUUACAAAACAAAAUAUAUUUAGUAAUAAACAAUACCUUCAACCUUGAUCUUGCCCUAAACUAAUCCUAUUCGUUAAUCAAACUAAACCAUUAUUCUAAGCCCCAAAGGCUUAAUAUACAGCAAAACUUUGUCAGAUACCGUGAGGAAGAGUUGAUUUGUGAUUGUGGUGAUAAAAAGAAGAAUGGGCUUUUGUUUCCUUCAUUUUUUCUGAAGCUUGCUGUUUAAAACACACCUAAAAUUCAUAAUUUAAAACCUUCAAUUUCUUGAGCUAGUGAUAUCUGUUUGUCAUUCAAAUAGCUGCUGCUAUGCAAAGGGUCACACAUCAUAGAAACUGUAGAGUAGAGCCAAUGUUUCUGUUUAUGAACAUGUGAAGACAGAUGAGGGGCUGGGAGUCCACCUGGGAAUAGAAUAACCUAGCAUAGAACACGUGUGAAAUCUCACUCUGGCUGAAACAAAAAGGUCUCUGAAAUCUUCAGUCACAUUUUCUUUCUUUCUUUUUUUUUUUUUUGAGACGGAGAUUCGCUCUUGUUACCCAGGCUGGAGUGCAAUGGCGCGAUCUCGGCUCACCGCAAUCUCCGCCUCCUGGGUUCAGGCAAUUCUCCUGCCUCAGCCUCCCGAGCAGCUGGGAUUACAGGCACGCACCACCGUGCCCAGCUAAUUUUUUGUAAUUUUAGUAGACACGGGGUUUCACCAUGUUGACCAAGAUGGUCUCGAUCUGUUGACCUCGUGAUCCACCCGCCUCGGCCUCCCAAAGUGCUGGGAUUACAGGCUUGAGCCACCGCGCCGGGCCUUCAGUCACAUUUUCUUGGCUUACUGACUCAUACACUGCAGCAUGUUGCCAUCAUGUUACAUAUAUUUACUCUCUACUAAAUUUUAAUUUUAGCCCUUUACCUUAGGAACUGUUUCUUGUGGUAUAAAAAAUUCAUGAUAAUUAAAUUUUAAUUAUUCAAUCAUUUUAAGAUCCAUUGACUUUGACAACAUGUAUAAACAACCUUAAAUAUUUUUUAUCUCUUGGUCUAGUGAUUCCACUUUUAAUAAUCUAUCCUAAGAUAAUAACUGAAUAAGGAUAAAUAAGUUAAUGUGUGUGUGUGUGUCAAGAUGUUUAUCACAACAUUAUAUAAUAGAAAAAAACAAAAUACAAUAAUAGAGAAAUUUAAAAUAUUUUUCAAAUUAUUUUUAAAAUAAAAUUUAAAACAAUCAUGUAACAAGAUAUUAAACCCUCACUAAAAAGUUUCCCAAAUAGUUUUAGAAGCUAUUUGGGAAAAGUUUUGUUUUCAUUUUAACUAUAAAAAUUGAGACUAAAAUGGAAUGUUACAAAAUUUACUAUAUGUGGAAUUUAAUAUACUUGUGAUAAAUUUGCAAGCAUGCAUUUUUUUAAAAUCAAAGUAAAUACAUCAAUAUGGUAAACUUGGUUAUUCUUGGGCGGUUGAAUGCUGAAUGAUUUAAAAAAUUUUCUUCUAUUCACUACUUUCUAAGUUUUUUUCAUUUAUUAAUGAUCAGAAAAAGAUAUAAAGUCAGUAAGUACAAUUAUAGAAUACAAAUACAUUUUACAUGAUUAUCACAUGCUUUAUGCAGUCUACUAUUUACAAGACUAUAUGAAAGUUUUUUAUUCUUUUUAUUUUACUAAGAAGAAAACUAAACUGUUUCCUGGCUUUUAAUUUCCUUAGCAUAGCUUCAAGUUUCUCACCUGCGAGGGAGUUAAGGUUAAUAUAUUGCCAUCUGGAUUUGAAUGGCCAUCAAAUAAAAAUAUAGUGAGAGUUAAAUUUAAAAACUAAGACACAUUAAAAAGUUAUUACAUAGCAAACUAGGAAUAGAGAGAAAUGUUCUCAACUUGAUAAAGAACAUCUACAAAAAAACUAACAUAUUUAAUCGUGUAAAACUAGAAGUUUUAGUGCUAAGAUCAGUAAGAAGGCAGGCAUGUCUCUUCUCACCACUCCUUUUUAACAUCAUAAUAGAUGUACUAGCUAAUUAAAUAAGAAAGGAAAAGAAAAGUAAGGGAAAUAAAGGUAUACAGACUGGGAAGGAAGAUAUAAAGCUGUCUUUCUUCAUAGAUAUCAUCGUCUAUGUAGAAAAUCUGAAAGAAUCAAUAAAAAAACUAGUCAGUAAAUAUAGCAAGUUUUUAGGAUACAAGAUUAUUAUACAAAAGUCAAUUGUUUCCCUAUGUACCAACAACAAACAGGUAGAAUUUGAAAUUGAAAACAAACUAUGAC